Molecule: unclassified non-coding RNA, 357 nt
Filed under: Hevea brasiliensis (rubber tree)
Lineage: Eukaryota; Viridiplantae; Streptophyta; Magnoliopsida; Malpighiales; Euphorbiaceae
Source: RNAcentral
UUAUGAGAUGUACAUUAACAUCUACAGAGGAAAAUACAGACAAUGUGAGGCCAGCAGUAAACAUCUUUAGAGCUAUAAAAUAAUGAACCUCAAAACUUUAUGUUAUAACAAAAAAUGCAAAACAAUGACCGAAUUCGCGGAACGAAAAGGCAUAGUAAUACAGAGAGGUAUAUAGCCUUGACAAGCAAUUCUACAUUUGUAUCAAUCGAUAACUAAUGACGAAAUAAGUUUGUUUUACGUCAUUUCUUGGGACCGUCUUACACAACGACUAACCUUUUUCUUGAAUUCAUCUCUAUUGUCUCUCCAUUCCUUAGCUGCUUCGACAUUAGCAGGAGACUCAUCAUUAGGACUUGAAAG